UACGGAGGGUGCGAGCGUUAAUCGGAAUUACUGGGCGUAAAGCGCGCGUAGGCGGUCAGGCAAGUCGGGUGUGAAAGCCCUGGGCUCAACCUGGGAAUUGCAUUCGAAACUAUCUGACUCGAGUAUGGGAGAGGGAAGCGGAAUUUCCGGUGUAGCGGUGAAAUGCGUAGAUAUCGGAAGGAACACCAGUGGCGAAGGCGGCUUCCUGGACUAAUACUGACGCUGAGGUGCGAAAGCGUGGGGAGCAAACAGG
This 253-nucleotide ribosomal RNA is filed under the name uncultured bacterium. RNAcentral describes it as "partial 16S ribosomal RNA". It matches the Rfam family "Bacterial small subunit ribosomal RNA", at positions 524 to 776 of the family's 1533-position model. The record is from RNAcentral.